RNAcentral lists this ribosomal RNA (254 nucleotides) under uncultured prokaryote. Its description in RNAcentral is "partial 16S ribosomal RNA". It matches the Rfam family "Bacterial small subunit ribosomal RNA", at positions 524 to 776 of the family's 1533-position model. The record is from RNAcentral.
CACGUAGGGUGCGAGCGUUGUCCGGAAUUAUUGGGCGUAAAGAGCUCGUAGGCGGUGUGUCGCGUCGGCCGUGAAAACUUGCAGCUUAACUGUGGGCGUGCGGUCGAUACGGGCAUCACUGGAGUUCGGCAGGGGAGACUGGAAUUCCUGGUGUAGCGGUGAAAUGCGUAGAUAUCGGGAGGAACACCAGUGGCGAAGGCGAUUACCUGGGGUUGUUCUGACGCUGAGGAGCGAAAGCUAGGGGAGCAAACGGG